UACGGAGGGGGCUAGCGUUGUUCGGAAUUACUGGGCGUAAAGCGCACGUAGGCGGCUUUGUAAGUUAGAGGUGAAAGCCCGGGGCUCAACCCCGGAAUUGCCUUUAAGACUGCAUCGCUAGAAUUGUGGAGAGGUAAGUGGAAUUCCGAGUGUAGAGGUGAAAUUCGUAGAUAUUCGGAAGAACACCAGUGGCGAAGGCGACUCGCUGGACAAGUAUUGACGCUGAGGUGCGAAAGCGUGGGGAGCAAACAGGG
RNAcentral lists this ribosomal RNA (254 nucleotides) under uncultured bacterium. RNAcentral describes it as "partial 16S ribosomal RNA". It matches the Rfam family "Bacterial small subunit ribosomal RNA", at positions 524 to 777 of the family's 1533-position model. The record is from RNAcentral.